RNAcentral lists this transfer RNA (69 nucleotides) under Ictidomys tridecemlineatus (thirteen-lined ground squirrel). RNAcentral describes it as "Spermophilus tridecemlineatus (thirteen-lined ground squirrel) tRNA". It matches the Rfam family "tRNA". Rfam says of the family: Transfer RNA (tRNA) molecules are approximately 80 nucleotides in length. Their secondary structure includes four short double-helical elements and three loops (D, anti-codon, and T loops). RNAcentral also lists the same sequence under 1 other name. The record is from Rfam by way of RNAcentral. Lineage: Eukaryota; Metazoa; Chordata; Mammalia; Rodentia; Sciuridae.
GGGGUUGUAGCUCAGUGGUAGAGCACUUGCCUUGAGUGCAUAAGGCCCUGGGUUCGAUCCUCAGCACCA